This 545-nucleotide ribosomal RNA is filed under the name uncultured bacterium. RNAcentral's name for it is "bacterial SSU rRNA". It matches the Rfam family "Bacterial small subunit ribosomal RNA", at positions 776 to 1312 of the family's 1533-position model. The record is from RNAcentral.
AAAUAGAUACCCUGGUAGUCCACGCCGUAAACGAUGAGUGCUAAGUGUUAGAGGGUUUCCGCCCUUUAGUGCUGAAGUCAACGCAUUAAGCACUCCGCCUGGGGAGUACGGUCGCAAGACUGAAACUCAAAGGAAUUGACGGGGGCCCGCACAAGCGGUGGAGCAUGUGGUUUAAUUCGAAGCAACGCGAAGAACCUUACCAGGUCUUGACAUCCUCUGACACUCCUAGAGAUAGGACGUUCCCUUCGGGGACAGAGUGACAGGUGGUGCAUGGUUGUCGUCAGCUCGUGUCGUGAGAUGUUGGGUUAAGUCCCGCAACGAGCGCAACCCUUGAUCUUAGUUGCCAGCAUUCAGUUGGGCACUCUAAGGUGACUGCCGGUGACAAACCGGAGGAAGGUGGGGAUGACGUCAAAUCAUCAUGCCCCUUAUGACCGUGGGCUACACACGUGCUACAAUGGAUGGUACGUAAAGGGCAGCGAAACCGCGUAGGUUAAGCCAACUCCCUAAUAAAACCUACUUCUCAGUUCGGAUUGCGNGCGUGACCG